RNAcentral lists this non-coding RNA (48 nucleotides) under Trypanosoma brucei brucei. Lineage: Eukaryota; Euglenozoa; Kinetoplastea; Trypanosomatida; Trypanosomatidae. The record is from RNAcentral.
ACAAUGUAAACUCUGAUAUCUGGUUUCAUAGAAGUGAGAAAUUAAUUU